CGGCCUUCUCGUCCUCCACGACCUCCACGACUUCUUCCUCCUCCAUCCUGGCGGCUCCAGGCCCGGCCCCGCCUUCCCGCCGCCUCCAGCAGCCUUCCAAAGCACUGCACCCUCUGCACAGGCCGUGACUCCUCGUGUAUCCACAGUGAUCCUGUAGCUGAUAGCACAGCUCCUGAGAGGACUACGAGGGUACAAAACCAGACGUGUGGUUUCAGCUUCGGUCAGCAGAGGGAGUACGGACACCUUUGUGCAGUUCCACGCAAGGCCACGCGUGACAGCUGAGAGCAGGCUCUGCUCUGCAUCCCUCUUUAGUCUGCAGGAAGGAUGAGAAGACAGUGCUGUCAUUGAUUAUUAGGCAGUAGAACUCAAGAUUUCUUCAAGCUUGCGAUGCAUGGAUUGCAGAGAAGGAAGAGCUGCAACGUUCAAAACAGGAAGUUCUUAAAGCAUAAAGGAGAAAUUUACCAAAAGGUAAAGGUAAGGGUGGAGUCUGGCUUAAUCAUAAAGCGAUAAGGACAGAGGAAGUGAGAAAAAUCUGACAAAUAAAAAUCCAACUGUUAUCUUUCAACCUCUGUGCAUACAGAUAUUCUAGAUGUUUGGUGCAUUUUUGCACAGACGGGUAAGGAAAUAAAGGACUUGUGCUCUUCAAACUUGUUUUAGUGGCAGCGUAUCUUCGAAGAUUAUAUUGAGACCGCAGCAUAACACAGCAAUAUGCUCUCAGACUUGGACUGUUUCAAAAGCUGAGUUGGCAGCAGUGUGGUGCCAGCACGGCCCUCAUGCUCCACGCAGCACCUUUCCAAUGAGAAGUGACUGCAUGUUCCUGUGGAGGUAAAUCCUUGGUUAUUAAUCCCGCAAGCCAGGCUCCAUUCUUCUUGGAUUAACUCCAUAGAUUGAGGCUGCCUACCUAAAUUUGCCAUGCCUUAAUUAAGUUCAACAUCGCCUCCAGUUCAGGGCGUUUGUUAUUCAUUGUUGCUAGUGCUACAGCACUGAGCUGAAGUCAGCACAGAAGUCUGAGAAAUGGGGCUGAGGUGGGGAGAAGUUUCUCUUUCCUGCAUUAGACAUCUGGGAUUUGCCCCUUCCAAGUGAACAACUAAUAUCACAGAGUGAAUUGUCUUUUGGUGCUACUUCCCCUAAAAUUCUUGAUCUCUUUGCUCUCACGUUGCUCUUUUUUCCAUUGAUUUUUAGCUGCGCUUGCUCAAAGCAGCUUUAACUGUAGCAGAAAUACUUAGUAGUCUGCUUUGUUUCGUGUAUCCAAAAGCAUACUUUCAUUGCAGAGGAACUGUGCACCAUCAGCUUCCACAGAUGUCCGUGUAACCUUAGUGCUAUAUCUCAGUUCCGUUGAGCGAGGAUCCAGAGUGCAUGCACUGGUAACAGAGAAGCUGGUGGCCAGUGAAGAGCAGAGGAGCACCCUGGCUGUGAGCUGACAUUUCUGAUACCAGGGUUGGCUUUGCCUCCCUGAGCUUGUCUGCAAUGGGCUCGGAGCACAUGCAGGCUCAAGAUUCCAGAGAUAUGCAAGAAGUCCAGGCUUCUCAGAACGAGCUUUAGUGUCCUGUGCAAAAUAAUUAGUCCAGAAACAAUCAUCCCUGAUGGUGUUUUUAUGUAUUCCAUAACUCUCAGAGCAAUACAGCUGAGACAGCAAUGAUGGAAUGAAUCCAACAAGGUUAUAAUUUCUUUGUAACUCCUGCCCAAGCUGAUCUGGUAAUCAAUGAUUUCUGUUCCUUUGCCACAAGCAUUCUCUCACGUAUUGCGGAGAAUAUAAGAUAAAAGAUACCAGCAGCGUGCCUACUGGAAGAGACCAGAAGCCUCUUCAAGCAAAUGUCCCCUCAGAGCAUCCCUGUAUGUUAUCAUAGGCUCAAUGGAAAGAGAGGCAACCCUGAAGUGCCACAUCAAACAGCCACUGAGUUUGUUCAGAUAAGUUUCUUUUUAAUCAUGAGUUGAGGUCUGUCUCAUACUAUUUUUUUUUUCCUAAAUAGAACUAACAUAUCUACAGCUGCAAUAUGAUUAUCUUAAUGACCUCUAAUGUAUUCUGGCUUUGAGUUCCACAGGUAAAUGUACUUGAAUUGUAUUUUUCCACUUGUUAGCUUUAUAUUUGUUGCCACGCUCCUCAGAUUUCUCCUGCUUCUAAAGAUGGUAACAUAGUUUGCCUCCUUUCCUUCAUUCUUUCGAGUCUUCACAACAAGUGGGCAUUUCCCACUGGCCCGAUCUGAAAUGCAUACUGUGCAUUUGCAUUGUCUGAAGUUAUGACUGCAAUGCAUGCUGGCAUGACCGAGCCCUGACAUUUGCAAAGAGGGAAAAAAAGAAAAACAGAGUGGGCAUUACUCUGUUUGUGCAUGCAGUGGGUCACCCUGUUCCAAACAGUGGUGCUUAGUGCAUUUACUCUGUUACCAUCUUUGAAGGGAUUGAAAAUGUGCUGCUUGUGCCAUGUGCAGUGUGAUGCAGUUUUAUUCAGGAAUAUCGGGUAUAAUUAGUGGGUAUUCUGUUUCUAAAAUCAUUCUCAUGUGUCUGUGCCUUCUGUUGUGAAACGGAGCACACGUGCACUUUAUGGGAACUGUGGGGACUGACAGGUCAGUGGUUGCAGUGCACCCAGCAGGUCAGGGCUCAGUCACCAGUUCUGAUGUGACUGAAAAGGACUGAGCAUCUGCAGCUUUCACCGAGCUCACCUGUGAGGGUUUGGGAUGGAGACAAAUACUAAAGUAGGCACCAUGGUCUGGUCAGCUCAAAGCACUUUACAGAUUGGGUCAGCAGAAUUGCUCCUCUUUCACUGUUAGUGAAGACGGUUGGUGUUUUAUAAUGGCAAUAAAACUAGAAAAUAGUUUAGAGUACAGUUUUCAUGUGUCACAGCACCGCAUUCUGUAGAAAGCCAUACUGGCAGCUUUCUUCCUCACUGGAAUAUUUAAUACAAUUGAUGCAGUGCAAUUAAUAAAACUAAACUUGCAAGAAACUAAAGAGUCACGUAUGAGUUCCUGGAUUUGGGUUACAUCGUG
This is a long non-coding RNA of Numida meleagris (helmeted guineafowl), 2981 nucleotides long. RefSeq lists it as uncharacterized. The record is from RefSeq and is a predicted model, not a curated record. Lineage: Eukaryota; Metazoa; Chordata; Aves; Galliformes; Numididae. The transcript has 8 exons.